This 2903-nucleotide ribosomal RNA is filed under the name Klebsiella quasipneumoniae. Its description in RNAcentral is "23S ribosomal RNA". It matches the Rfam family "Bacterial large subunit ribosomal RNA". Lineage: Bacteria; Pseudomonadati; Pseudomonadota; Gammaproteobacteria; Enterobacterales; Enterobacteriaceae. The record is from RNAcentral.
GGUUAAGCGACUAAGCGUACACGGUGGAUGCCCUGGCAGUCAGAGGCGAUGAAGGACGUGCUAAUCUGCGAAAAGCGUCGGUAAGGUGAUAUGAACCGUUAUAACCGGCGAUGUCCGAAUGGGGAAACCCAGUGCAAUUCGUUGCACUAUCGUUAACUGAAUACAUAGGUUAACGAGGCGAACCGGGGGAACUGAAACAUCUAAGUACCCCGAGGAAAAGAAAUCAACCGAGAUUCCCCCAGUAGCGGCGAGCGAACGGGGAGCAGCCCAGAGUCUGAAUCAGCUUGUGUGUUAGUGGAACGGUCUGGAAAGUCCGACGGUACAGGGUGAUAGUCCCGUACACCAAAAUGCACAGGUUGUGAACUCGAAGAGUAGGGCGGGACACGUGGUAUCCUGUCUGAAUAUGGGGGGACCAUCCUCCAAGGCUAAAUACUCCUGACUGACCGAUAGUGAACCAGUACCGUGAGGGAAAGGCGAAAAGAACCCCGGCGAGGGGAGUGAAAAAGAACCUGAAACCGUGUACGUACAAGCAGUGGGAGCACCUUUAUGGUGUGACUGCGUACCUUUUGUAUAAUGGGUCAGCGACUUAUAUUCUGUAGCAAGGUUAACCGUAUAGGGGAGCCGCAGGGAAACCGAGUCUUAACUGGGCGUUAAGUUGCAGGGUAUAGACCCGAAACCCGGUGAUCUAGCCAUGGGCAGGUUGAAGGUUGGGUAACACUAACUGGAGGACCGAACCGACUAAUGUUGAAAAAUUAGCGGAUGACUUGUGGCUGGGGGUGAAAGGCCAAUCAAACCGGGAGAUAGCUGGUUCUCCCCGAAAGCUAUUUAGGUAGCGCCUCGUGAACUCAUCUUCGGGGGUAGAGCACUGUUUCGGCUAGGGGGUCAUCCCGACUUACCAACCCGAUGCAAACUACGAAUACCGAAGAAUGUUAUCACGGGAGACACACGGCGGGUGCUAACGUCCGUCGUGAAGAGGGAAACAACCCAGACCGCCAGCUAAGGUCCCAAAGUCAUGGUUAAGUGGGAAACGAUGUGGGAAGGCACAGACAGCCAGGAUGUUGGCUUAGAAGCAGCCAUCAUUUAAAGAAAGCGUAAUAGCUCACUGGUCGAGUCGGCCUGCGCGGAAGAUGUAACGGGGCUAAACCAUGCACCGAAGCUGCGGCAGCGACACUAUGUGUUGUUGGGUAGGGGAGCGUUCUGUAAGCCUGCGAAGGUGACCUGUGAGGGCUGCUGGAGGUAUCAGAAGUGCGAAUGCUGACAUAAGUAACGAUAAAGCGGGUGAAAAGCCCGCUCGCCGGAAGACCAAGGGUUCCUGUCCAACGUUAAUCGGGGCAGGGUGAGUCGACCCCUAAGGCGAGGCCGAAAGGCGUAGUCGAUGGGAAACAGGUUAAUAUUCCUGUACUUGGUGUUACUGCGAAGGGGGGACGGAGAAGGCUAUGUUAGCCGGGCGACGGUUGUCCCGGUUUAAGCAUGUAGGCUGGUUAUCCAGGCAAAUCCGGAUAAUCAAGGCUGAGGUGUGAUGACGAGGCACUACGGUGCUGAAGUAACAAAUGCCCUGCUUCCAGGAAAAGCCUCUAAGCAUCAGGUAACAUCAAAUCGUACCCCAAACCGACACAGGUGGUCAGGUAGAGAAUACCAAGGCGCUUGAGAGAACUCGGGUGAAGGAACUAGGCAAAAUGGUGCCGUAACUUCGGGAGAAGGCACGCUGGUGUGUAGGUGAAGUCCCUGCGGAUGGAGCUGAGACCAGUCGAAGAUACCAGCUGGCUGCAACUGUUUAUUAAAAACACAGCACUGUGCAAACACGAAAGUGGACGUAUACGGUGUGACGCCUGCCCGGUGCCGGAAGGUUAAUUGAUGGGGUUAUCCGUAAGGAGAAGCUCUUGAUCGAAGCCCCGGUAAACGGCGGCCGUAACUAUAACGGUCCUAAGGUAGCGAAAUUCCUUGUCGGGUAAGUUCCGACCUGCACGAAUGGCGUAAUGAUGGCCAGGCUGUCUCCACCCGAGACUCAGUGAAAUUGAACUCGCUGUGAAGAUGCAGUGUACCCGCGGCAAGACGGAAAGACCCCGUGAACCUUUACUAUAGCUUGACACUGAACAUUGAGCCUUGAUGUGUAGGAUAGGUGGGAGGCUUUGAAGCGUGGACGCCAGUCUGCGUGGAGCCAACCUUGAAAUACCACCCUUUAAUGUUUGAUGUUCUAACGUUGGCCCCUUAUCGGGGUUGCGGACAGUGUCUGGUGGGUAGUUUGACUGGGGCGGUCUCCUCCCAAAGCGUAACGGAGGAGCACGAAGGUUAGCUAAUCCUGGUCGGACAUCAGGAGGUUAGUGCAAUGGCAUAAGCUAGCUUGACUGCGAGCGUGACGGCGCGAGCAGGUGCGAAAGCAGGUCAUAGUGAUCCGGUGGUUCUGAAUGGAAGGGCCAUCGCUCAACGGAUAAAAGGUACUCCGGGGAUAACAGGCUGAUACCGCCCAAGAGUUCAUAUCGACGGCGGUGUUUGGCACCUCGAUGUCGGCUCAUCACAUCCUGGGGCUGAAGUAGGUCCCAAGGGUAUGGCUGUUCGCCAUUUAAAGUGGUACGCGAGCUGGGUUUAGAACGUCGUGAGACAGUUCGGUCCCUAUCUGCCGUGGGCGCUGGAGAAUUGAGGGGGGCUGCUCCUAGUACGAGAGGACCGGAGUGGACGCAUCACUGGUGUUCGGGUUGUCAUGCCAAUGGCACUGCCCGGUAGCUAAAUGCGGAAGAGAUAAGUGCUGAAAGCAUCUAAGCACGAAACUUGCCCCGAGAUGAGUUCUCCCUGAGACUUUAAGUCUCCUGAAGGAACGUUGAAGACGACGACGUUGAUAGGCCGGGUGUGUAAGCGCAGCGAUGCGUUGAGCUAACCGGUACUAAUGAACCGUGAGGCUUAACCUU